GGUUCUCUUGUUGUUCAUCCAUUGGGAUAUUUAGAUCAAAAGAAUGGAGUAUUUGAUGUGGAGGAACAAAAGGAAAAACUCCACCAACCUCAGGCUGGUGAGUGCUUUAAAGGCUGGAGGUAGAGUGUGUUUUAUAGCCGUGAGAAAGGAGCAGUGGCAGAGUGGCAGAACAGCAGCAGACCAGUGGCAGUUUCAAAUAUUGAAUGUUUUUCGUUUUUGUUAAUGUGUUUGGCGCGUGUGCCUGUGUACACAUUUCUACUUUUGGCGCCGGAUGGAUAAAAAAUUAAUAAAUGCUGAGAUGACUAGCUACAUCAUCCAUAUGUGACACAAGAAUCUUUACAUUUAA
This is a long non-coding RNA of Zea mays, 346 nucleotides long. RefSeq lists it as uncharacterized. The record is from RefSeq and is a predicted model, not a curated record. Lineage: Eukaryota; Viridiplantae; Streptophyta; Magnoliopsida; Poales; Poaceae. The transcript is spliced from 2 exons.